UAUAUACUCUCUCCGUCUCAAAAUUCUUGUCUUAAAUUCGUAGAUAUGGAUGUAUCUAAUACUAAAACGUGACUUGAUACAUCCGUAUUUAGAUAAAUUUAAGACAAGAAUUUUGGGAUGGAGAGAGUAGAAA
Non-coding RNA from Triticum urartu, 133 nucleotides. The record is from Rfam. Lineage: Eukaryota; Viridiplantae; Streptophyta; Magnoliopsida; Poales; Poaceae.